GUGGUACCGACCAACACGCCCUCGCCGCUCUGAUGAGCUUCACCACCACCAGUGACCACCACCUUGCCAUGCACCUCAUUUUUCCUCCUCGUCUCAAACUGGGAACCCAUUCUCUCACUCAGUGCUCACUGCACGAAAAAUGCCGACGGAGAUGUGGUGAUCUCUUCACUUCUCGACCUCGAUAUGGUUUUGCACUCCUUCAUUUUCUCCUAAUUUUUGAUUUCUAGCUCGAUCUCGAGCUUACUCGCAAGUUUUGGGUAGCUUUUACACAGAACUCAACUCGGGAGAAAUACUCCACUGUUUUCAUACGAAACCCACAUGGUUGCAAGCCGUUUUACGGCUGACUCCGGCCACGACUUCGUCUACUAUUGGUAUAUUUCAAACCCUUACAUCACGAGCUUCAUUUUUUACUUUUAUUUCAUCACAAAUGGUUGAGUUUUGAGCUCGUUUAUAGCUCAGGAAUUUGCUGGCCAGUUUUUGGCUACCGGACCUGCUAUAGGGACCAGGUUGACUCGACCGGAGAAGAAGAAGGAAAAAAAAUGCCUUAGGCCCAAAAUCCAGCCCAAAACCAUAAGCCCAAGCCUUUGGGCCUUUGUCUCAAGCCAACCCAUUUCUGAAUUGGGCUCAGAAUAUUCUGAGAAUAUUCUCUGGAAUAUUCCUUGGGUUGAUUUUUUGAAACUUUCUCAAGAACCCUCCUAGGUUAAUUUUGACACCCCGACUUCGUUUUUGACAUCCAUUGAGUGAAAUUCCAAAGUUUUAAUGUAGUUGACCACCGGGGUGUCUUGGUUGACUGUCGACCUUCUUGUUGACUUUUUACAAAAUUUGUCGGGGACCAUCCUUAACGGAUUUUGACGCUCUGAUUCCAAAUUUGCACUCCGUUUUCCCAAAUUUAAUUUUUUUAGUGGAGUUUUACUAAUGGGUCCAAAUAUUAUGCUUAGGUGCGAUUAUUAUCGGUGACUUCGGCUAUUCUAGUUCGAACGGGUCGACUCAACGACGUGAUCUGUGAGUAGGUCUUUUCUUUAUAUAUAUAGUGGUUAGUUUUCAUAUAUACAAUUAUUAAUAAAUUCUCUAUGUGAUUGCCAUGAUUAAAUUAACGUUAUAAGAAAUGCCUUAUUGUUGGGAAAUAAUGAAAUAAUUCUACGGGAUGCACAUGUAAGCUUAUUCUUAAGGGGAUGCUUUAAUUAUAUUUGUGGUUUUGAAUAGUAUUAUAUUGACUAGAAGUGUCGAAUUGAUAUGGCAUGAUUAUAUAUAAGUUAUUUGAUCAUCAUUGUUGCACUGGUGUUAGUACUCGCCCAGGCCAGGGCCAGUCUUUCACUUGUACAUCGCACCAUACGCUCACUUUGUAUCCAUUGUAGGUGCCAGUCCUGUCAUACAGGUUGCAAUAGGCAACUCCAACUCAUAUGUGUUGCGCAUAGCGUCAGUCAUCACGUGAUUGUAGUACUAGAGCAUAUAUCAUUAUUACACCCAGUCUUAUUCAUGUCAGAAUACCUCUACCUGAACUCGUGUGUCAGCAUAUGUUAAUGAGCAUUCGAUGAGAUAUGUUUAUUUAGGCGAAAAUAUGUGAUUACGGACGUCAUGUACUUAUUCAUGAAAGUUGUGACAUAAGGCAUCCUUGAAAUAUUGCUGGUUAUGGUAAGCAUUUUUAUAUUAUAUGUAGAAUGUAUAUUUUGGAAACUAUACUUGUUUUACAAUGAGGGGUUAGAACAUUUUUAGAAGGUUUUUAUAAAGCUUUAUUUUUAGGCCCACUCACCCUUAUUUUUCGCCCAUCUAGUUUUUAGUGGCUGAGCUUUCAUAUUGACGAGGAUUCUUGGCAAAUUUUGGUAUUGGAGAUUACUUCGUUGGUAUAAUUAUCAUCCUACCUUACUGUACUUUACUUAAGCUCUGACAUCACGUGUGAAAUAGGUUCAUUCCCGCUCAUAAGUGCAUUCUUAUAUUUAGGCACUUUUAGGUUUAAAUUUAUUCACAUUUUCCACAUCACUACACUUUAU
RNAcentral lists this long non-coding RNA (1988 nucleotides) under Malus domestica (apple). RNAcentral describes it as "long non-coding RNA (MDOM_LNC015654)". The record is from RNAcentral. Lineage: Eukaryota; Viridiplantae; Streptophyta; Magnoliopsida; Rosales; Rosaceae.